RNAcentral lists this ribosomal RNA (448 nucleotides) under uncultured bacterium. Its description in RNAcentral is "bacterial SSU rRNA". It matches the Rfam family "Bacterial small subunit ribosomal RNA", at positions 64 to 507 of the family's 1533-position model. The record is from RNAcentral.
GAGCGGAAAGGCCUCUUUGGGGGUACUCGAGCGGCGAACGGGUGAGUAACACGUGAGUAACCUGCCCUCAGGUUUGGGAUAACCCUCGGAAACGGGGGCUAAUACCGGAUAUGACAUUGCCGGGCAUCCGGUGGUGUGGAAAGUUUUUUCGCCUGGGGAUGGACUCGCGGCCUAUCAGCUUGUUGGUGGGGUGAUGGCCUACCAAGGCGACGACGGGUAGCCGGCCUGAGAGGGCGACCGGCCACACUGGGACUGAGACACGGCCCAGACUCCUACGGGAGGCAGCAGUGGGGAAUUUUGGACAAUGGGCGCAAGCCUGAUCCAGCCAUGCCGCGUGAGUGAAGAAGGCCUUCGGGUUGUAAAGCUCUUUCGGCCGGGACGAAAUGGCGCGGGGUAACAUCCCGCGUCGAUGACGGUACCGGAAGAAGAAGGACCGGCUAACUACGUG